Molecule: unclassified non-coding RNA, 249 nt
Filed under: uncultured fungus
Lineage: Eukaryota; Fungi
Also listed under: 1 other name
Description: partial contains 5.8S ribosomal RNA, internal transcribed spacer 2, and large subunit ribosomal RNA
Source: RNAcentral
AACGCACAUUGCGCCCCUUGGUAUUCCAUGGGGCAUGCCUGUUCGAGCGUCAUUUGUACCCUCAAGCUCUGCUUGGUGUUGGGUGUUUGUCCACUCCCUGGUGUUUGGACUCGCCUUAAAGCAAUUGGCAGCCAGUGUUUUGGUAUUGAAGCGCAGCACAUUUUGCGAUUCUAGCCUGAAAUACUAGCAUCCAGCAAGUCAUUUUUCACUUUUGACCUCGGAUCAGGUAGGGAUACCCGCUGAACUUAA